Acanthochromis polyacanthus (spiny chromis) is the source of this 5106-nucleotide long non-coding RNA. RefSeq lists it as uncharacterized. The record is from RefSeq and is a predicted model, not a curated record. The transcript is spliced from 5 exons. NCBI's taxonomy places the organism in Eukaryota, Metazoa, Chordata, Actinopteri, Pomacentridae.
UAAAAGAUUUUCUGAAUGUGUUGUGUCAGAAUCCCGCUCAAUUCUUCUCAUUUACAUAAUAGCAGAAAUGUCUACUUUAUGCAACUGAGCAACUGGACAUUACCAGAAUGCUUUGCAGUGCAUUUCACAAAGACACUGAGUAGGAGGUGCUAAAGUGAUCCUGUGGAGAGCAGAAAAUAUCAUUGGAGCCCCCCUGCCCUCCAUCCAGGACCUGUUUUCCAGUAGAAACAGGAAGAGGGCAGGGAACAUCACCCCACUCACACUGGACAUAAACUGUUCUCUCCCCUCGCCUCUUUCAAGUGCGACAGAGCCAUGUUCACUAAAACCUCCACACACAAGAACAGCUUCUUCCCUAUUGCCAUCACCCUAAAACAGUAGAGGAAGAUGUUUUGAACACGAAGAGCACUGUUUUCCACGGGGAACCAGCAGGGGUGCACACUUCUGAGGAACCUUAAUGAAGGAAUGUGAGUUGAUUGUCUGCGGCAGUUGAAACUAAAUUCAUUUGGACAGCGGUACCAAGAGAACAAGCAGAGACUGUAAGGGAGUCAUCAGGAGAAGCUAAGGAUCUACCUGAUGGGGCUCCUCCAGAACCAGAACCUGACUCUGGGCUGGUCUCAGCCAGACGUCACCUACUGGGAGUCAACAUCUCAAUCAUCAUCAGCUGUGAACAACACCAUCAUCGUGCUGGGCGUGCUGACCUUCGUCCUCCAGCUGUGUUUAGUUCUGUUCUUCAUGCUGAGAUGUUGGAGAUUCGACAACAGAGUACGAGAGUCUCUCAAACACCCAGAUGCUGACAACAAGCUCACUGCCCUCCGACUCUUUCACCCAGACAUUUACCGUCAGCCCAACUACCAGCUCUGUAAUGAAGCUCCUGGCGCUUCAUCCCCUGCCACGUCUGCAGUUGCGGAAAAAUAUGAGCCCACUACAGACUAUCUGAGCGCACCGUCUAUACCAUGGGACCUUGUUCAAUACUGAUAAGCUCCUAAAUCUUCAACAGGGCCUUUCUCUCUCUCUCAUGUUCCGUCCUUUACAGGGUUGGAGGAUAUGGUAGUUCUCCACGUACUUCUAUCUUCGGCUGUUCUUACUGCCUCACUGUACUGCAUUUCUGUCCACUUCUUUAUAUUGUCUGUCCACAUUGCUCUUGGUCGUCCUCUUUGCCUUCUUCCAUCUAUUCGUCCCUCCAAUAAUAUUCUUGAUAUGUUAUUUUUUCUUAUGAGAUGACCAAAGUACCCGAGUCUUAAUAUGUGCUCUAAUUGUGUGCUCUUAUUUUUUAUGUUGUUUAAUACUUCUUCAUUUGUGAUUUUAUCUGUCCAGGAUAUUUUCAGCAUUCUUCUAUAUGUCCACAUCUCAAAGGCAAUAAUUCUUUUUAAUGAUGUUAUUUGCAAUGGUCCAGGUUUCACAUCCAUAUAACAUGGGUGACCAUACAUAGCACUUCAAAAUUCUCUUUCUGGUUGGUAGUCCUAGAUUUUUAUUUGUCAGAGUGCUUCUCAUUUUGUUAAACACACCCCUUGCUAUUGAGAUCCUCCUUAUAAUGUCAUGAUCAUUCUUUCCAUCUUCAGUUAUCUGUUGUCCUAGGUAUAUGAAUGUAUCCACCUGAUCUAUAGGUUCUCCAUCAAUAGACAUAUGAAUUCUUGGUGAUGGGCAGGUCUUUGAUAUUACCAUUGAUUUUGUCUUUUUGGGAUUCAUUUUCAUACCAAACUGUUUCCCUGCUUCAUUUACUUUUGUCAGAAUCUCUUUCAGUUGUUCUUCAUUCUCUGCCAGCAGGACUGUAUCGUCAGCAUACCUCAAAUUAUUGAUGUUAUGACCUCCAAUGCUGAUCCCAUCAAUAUAGUCUAUACUUCUGAAAAUAAAUUCUGUGUAUAAGUUAAAGAGACAGGGAGACAGUACACACCCCUGUCUCACCGCUCUUUUGAUUUUUAUUUCAUUUGAGUAACCAUUCUCCAUCCUGAUGAAAGCUCUUUGAUUCCAAUAUAGACUCUUGAUGAAUGCUAUAUCUCUUCCUCUCAUUCUGAUGUUGACCAGACAUUCAAUUAGCUUUUCAUGAUUGACUCUGUCAAAUGCCUUUUGAUAGUCUAUGAAACAGGCAUAGACAUCUUUGUUUACAUCAUUGCAUCUUUCAAUGAUAGUUCUUAAGUUGAAGAUGCCUUCUCUUGUUCCCUUGCCAUUUACAAAACCACUUUGAGUUUCAUUUAUUUCACUUUCUAUGAUGUUUUUUUUCCUGUUUAGUAUUAUUCGCAAUAUGAUUUUCAGCAUAUGGCUCAUAAGACUUAUUGUUCGAUAAUCAGGACAUUCUGUGGCCUUUGGUUUCUUAGGAAGUCUUAUGAAUAUGGAGUCAUUGUAUACCAUAUUGCAAAAUUGAGUGACAUGGUUAAUGUUUUCUUCAUCCAAUGAUUUUAAAAUCUCAGUGUUAAUGUUGUCAAGUCCUGCUGCCUUGCCUGAUUUUAGGUCAUUUAUUGCCUUCUUUACUUCAUCCACCAGCAGAUCUUCACCAUCUUCAUCUUUCAUUUCUUGAUGUUGAUUCCUGGCCUGUAGUAACUCUAUAUCUUCACAUUUGUUAUUCCACCAAGUCUCUUUUGCAUUCUUGCAUUCUGUGUCAAUUCUCUUUCUCAAGAUUUCAUACUUCUUGGGAUCUCUGUGUUUGACUGAUUUUCUUUCUUCCAUGAGAUUUAAAAUUUCAUCUGUCAUCCAACUUUGUUUUGCUUUUUUUUUCUUUCUUUGGGAGAACCUUCUUAGUGGCAUUCAUAAAACUGUCUUUCAUAUUCUGCCAACUUUCUUCCAGGGUGUCAGUUUGUAUACAGUUAUCAGUUGCAAGUAUGGAGAACAUAUUUUUUACUUUUAAGUUGAAUUUUUUUCUGAUGUUUUCUUCUCUCAGCAUGUUCAUGUUGUACUGCACAUGGACUCUUGGUUUUUGCCUUGUUUUCAAUUUUAACUUCAGAGUCAUAACAACUGGGUUAUGAUCUGAGUCAAUGUCAGCACCUGGGUGUGUUUUCACAUUUUUUACACUAUUCCUGAAUCUGUCAUUGAUCAUGAUGUAAUCUAUCUGAUUACGGUACACAUAUCCUGGACUUUUCCAUGUGUGUAUGUUCUUUGGAUGAUGUUUGAACAUUGUGUUCAUGAUUAAUAGGUUGUUUCCUUUGCAGAAUUUAAUUAGCUUUGAACCUCUAUCAUUUCUUGUGCCAAGACCAUAGUUUCCUUCAACUGGGUGUUCUGCACCUUUUCCUACUUUGGCAUUUAGGUCACCCAUUAUAAUAUUAACUUCUGCUGAUUUUGUAUAUUCCAUGAGUUUUUGUAAGUUGUCAUAGAACUCUUCAGUUUCAUUUUCUGUAUGGUCUUGUGUUGUUGCAUAGAUCUGAAUAAUAUUUACAUCGAAUGGUUUCCCAUUCAAUUUUACCAUUAUCAGUCUUUCUGAUACAGGCCAGAAUCCUAUCAUGGCAUUUGCAAUUUCUUUCUUCAUGAGUAUACCUACUCCAUACUGAUGUUUCUGUCCACCUGAAUAUACCAUGCUUUUAUCUUUAUCUGUGAGCUUUCCACUUUCAGUCCAUCUGGUUUCACAUACUCCAAGAAUAUCUAAUUUCAUCGAAUCCAUUUCUUUAGUAAGGUUGUGCAUUUUAGCUGCUUUGAAUAAGGUUCUUACAUUCCAUGUUCCUAUUUUAAGCAAUUUUUUCCUCAUUUCCAAACUUCUGUUAUCGGAGUCGAACUUUCCUGUUGGAUUUAAGCUAGAAUCGUCAUUAUCAGAAGUUCUAUUCAUAAGGGUAGGUGUUUCUUCCGUGUCACUUGAAGAAGAGUUCACCGCAGGGGGCCCAGUGAUAUCUCCUAUACCAUCACCAUUCCUAUUAUGAAGCAUCUACCAUAUCUAACAAUGGGAUCAUACUCAGUAGGGCCCCAAUCCUUUCUGAGGUAACUGGCCACUAGUCCAUGACUGUCAGGAGUGUGCCCUGGAUGUGUUACCCAUCUUGCUGUUGUGCCAUCCAAACCGUUGACCAUCUCACUCUUUGGUUCAUCCGCUUCUUCAGCCACUCCAGUCUUCAUGCACUUGAAGGGUGACUUUCCCUUAUGACAAACAUCUCAGUCCAGAGAUGUCCGAUCCCCUCACUUAGUUUUGCACGCCAGUCGAGGCGAGGUCCCGUGGUGUGGCCGUUAGUAUGCACUACCAGCUUCUUGGAGCCAUAAGUGAGAAUUGUGCAGUGGUGGGAAACCAAAGUACCAUGUCCACAUUCUGUUAAACAUUAUGUGCGGCUGACAAAAAUACAGAGGUGCUACUCCUACACACACUACACCCAACACCACAACGGGGCCUUUACAGAAUGCAAAUGACACUGAGCGUUCAAGGUGCUUCAACAAAGUGCACCAAGUGACCAUUUCACAUUUUUUCACUAUGUUACACUGAAGGCAAUCAUCACAAAUAGAGAUAUGAACAAAAUAUACAAUACUGUUCAAAAGGUUGGGGUCACCCAGACAAUUUCACGUUUUCCAUGAAAAUUCACACUUUUAUUCAUGUGCUAACAUAACCACACAAGGGUUUUCUAAUCAUCAAUGAGCCUUUCAACACCAUUAGCUAACACAAUGUAGCAUUAGAACACAGGAGUGAUGGUUGCUGGAAAUGUUCCUCUGUACCCCUAUGGAGAUAUUCCAUUACUUUUGAACAGUACUGUAUGUCCAACAUGUUAUCGGAAGGCCUCAAGUUGCUUCAGUUUAUCAUUUUAAAUAGAACACAAAAUGGAAACUUCACCAGACACCAUCCUGACACAAGCAGGGGACGACUGCAGCUCUUACAGAGCGUGUUUAUGUAGCUGAAAAUCACAGGUGAUGCAAUAUUACAUCAGCCGCUCAUCAUCUACGUGUGUCAUUUUUACUUGAUGCAAUCUGUAAGAAAUAUUGCCACAUACCUCCGUUGAUUCAGAUGACAUUUACAUUUUUAAAGGGUAAUCUACUUCUGGGAAGGCCAGUGCACUUCGUGAUGAAUAUAGAAACAUGCUCAUAUUUAUGUGAAGUGCACAAAAUGUGUAAUUUUUAAACACUGUGAUAGUAGUUUGAAUAUCAGAGAUGAUUUUUCUAAUGUUUUUCAUUAAGCUAAAGCUGCACUAAUAAAACAUUUUGUAUAAACAA